RNAcentral lists this long non-coding RNA (2679 nucleotides) under Zea mays. RNAcentral's name for it is "long non-coding RNA (ZMAY_LNC001175)". The record is from RNAcentral. Lineage: Eukaryota; Viridiplantae; Streptophyta; Magnoliopsida; Poales; Poaceae.
UCAUCACUUGUUGACUGCCCAGAACAGGAUGAAACAGCGUUAUGAUCUCCAUCACCGUGAGGUCUCUUAUGCUGUGGGUGAUUGGGUGUGGUUAAAGCUCCAAAGUCAUCGUCAACUCUCGGUUCGCCCGGAUCACUAUCACAAGUUGGCGCCCAGAUUUUUUGGACCUUACCAGGUGGUCAGUCAAGUGGGCAACGUGGCAUAUCGUCUCGCCUUACCAGCAACAGCUAAAAUACAUGAUGUAUUUCACGUCUCCAUGCUGAAACCUUUCAAAGGGCCUCCUCCAUCCACCACACCAGACCUUCCUGAAGAUGUAUCCUACCCCUCUCCAGAAUCUGCACAACCAACUCCUCACAAGAUACUGGCUCAACGCUUUGUUCACGGGCACCGGCAGUUCUUGAUUCAGUGGACCAGACAAGAUCUUGAAGAAGCUACUUGGGAGGAUGCUCUGGACUUCCGUCGGGCGCACCCAGAUUUCAAGCUUGAGGACAAGCUUGCUGUCGAGGGGGGGGGGAGUAUUGAUAUGGCCCAGCCGCAUAGAGUUUAUUUUAGGAAACACUGAGUUGAUUGGCUGUGAUUAUUUGGUAGCAAAUAGUCCCUUUUUGUAAUGGUAGCAUUAGUUACCUUAUUGAGCAUUACACGGCUCUAUAGUUUCUAUGUUUAGGAAAGAGAUUGUGGGGAAAUAAAAGGGAGAAAGGCAGAAGAGAAAAGGGACAUUCUUGUUCCACAAAUUCCAGUCUCAGGCGUCGCCGACGAUAAACGGCCGGUGGUUCCGUCAACCGCUACCAUAGGUCGCCGGCGAGCUAUCCCGGUGCCGCCCCAGCCUACUCGAUCUGGGCUGCGGCCUGGAACUCGUUCCUAUCAACGGGAACACCCAUAUCAACUGGUAUCGGAUUCAGGCGGUUCUGGUGCAUCCCUUCCCAUGGCUUCCGCUGAGGAUCGCGUGGGGCAUCUGGAGGCAUCGGUCGCGCAACUGGCGGUUGCUGUGCAGGACAUCCAGUCCAACAUAGCAGAGCUCGCCAAGGUUGUCGCCGACUCAGUGCAGCUGACGGGUGGCGAGGCGUCGGGGGUGGACGGCCGGCACCGUCCUCAACAGCAGGGACGCCGGGACGGACGAGACGCCGACGCGAUGGGCGGUGAGCGUGGCGGUCGUCGCGGGUUUCCACACGCGCCCCGUUACGACUUGCCGCUGUUCGAUGGGUCGGAGGACCCAUUGCUGUGGCUGCGUCAGUGCGAGCGGUAUGGGCGGUUGCAUGACAUUCCAAGGGAGGAGUGGGUGCAGAUGGCUGGCAUGCAUCUGCGCGGCGAGGCUCAGGAGGUUUUGGACAAUUGGGAAACUGAGGAUCAAUUCAUUUCUUGGCCGGAGUUCUAUGACACCUUCUUGCAGCGCUUCACACGGCAUUCAACCUCGGGACCGCUGGGAGAUCUAGCCAAUUUGAAACAGCACAACAGCCGAGCAGACGUAUAUGCAAGGGAGUUUCAGCGACUUCUUGCCCGCACACCAAGGUUGUCUCGGCAGGAUCAGAUCGAGCUCUUUACCGCGGGGUUAUCAUCCACCCUCGCGGCCGAGGUCCGUCGGGAUCGCCCCCGGGACUUGGCUGACACCAUGGGUUUGGCUCGUGAAGCAGAACGGCGGGAAGAUCUCUUUCUUGCCAAGGUGGCCCAGGCCACGUGGUCACGCGGGUCUCGUAGCACAUCUUGGGCAUCGGGCACCGAUCCAUCGGCAAGUAAUCGGGCGACGGCGCCGUCAUCCAGUGCCCUCCCGGUGGCGCCUGGGGGAUCCAAGCUGGAAGGGGGUCGAGCGUUGACGACGACUUCACAGACUUCAGGGACUGUUCCCACUGCUCCACCAUAUCGUCGUCGUCUCAGUCCUGCAGAAAUGUCUGACCGAAGGGAGAAGGGUCUCUGUUAUAACUGUGAUGAGGUUUACUCGCGUGGACAUCGUUGUCAGCGCUUGUUCCAUUUGGAAGUGCUCAGCGAGGGUGAAGAGGAUGAUUCACUGGAGGAGGAACCAACCCUAUCUGCUAUAGCCAUGAAGGGUCUGAAGGCCAGUCGCACUAUGCAGGUCAUUGUAGUCAUGGGUGGACAACGUCUGGUGGGCUUAGUGGAUAGUGGUAGCACCCAUAACUUUAUUAGUAGCCAUGCUGCUUCUGUGGUGCAGAUCACACAAUCGUCAGGGACUGGACAGCAGGUGCAGGUAGCCAAUGGCGCUCGGUUGCCAUGUCUUGGGCAGUUGAUAGCCAGCUGGUGGAUCGUGAUGCCUUAUUGGAUAGAGCUCGUCAUCACUUGUUGACUGCCCAGAACAGGAUGAAACAACGUUAUGAUCUCCAUCACCGUGAGGUCUCUUAUGCUGUGGGUGAUUGGGUGUGGUUAAAGCUCCAAAGUCAUCGUCAACUCUCGGUUCGCCCGGAUCACUAUCACAAGUUGGCGCCCAGAUUUUUUGGACCUUACCAGGUGGUCAGUCAAGUGGGCAACGUGGCAUAUCGUCUCGCCUUACCAGCAACAGCUAAAAUACAUGAUGUAUUUCACGUCUCCAUGCUGAAACCUUUCAAAGGGCCUCCUCCAUCCACCACACCAGACCUUCCUGAAGAUGUAUCCUACCCCUCUCCAGAAUCUGCACAACCAACUCCUCACAAGAUACUGGCUCAACGCUUUGUUCACGGGCACCGGCAGUUCUUG